AUGUCGCCUUUUCUUCAGCCCCGAGCAGCCGUGCCGCCAGAGCUCGCGAACCUUGCCGCCACCUCGACUCCUCCGUGUCCGGGACAUCAGGACGUCGCCGGCAUGCGGAACGAAGCCGCCCCAACUGGAUCCACGCCCUCCGCCAUCGCCCGCUCUCCCGCCAUUCUUCCUCACCUCGAAUUGGUUGCACCGAGAAACAAGGCCGCCGAGCCAAAUUUGCUGAACCAGGCUACCAAGUUUGAGUUCUCCUUUCUAGAGUCUCUUUUGCGUCAUGGUAUAUCUGCUAUCGAGAAUGAUGCUCAGAAAAUUCUUCGUUCCAUGCCAAAUGACAUUUUGUUUCGACUUGAUAACACCAGAUAUUCUGCUAAUGAUAGGAAGCGUGGUUUAAAACUGCUCUGGCUGGAGUUGUAUGCUUUGUGA
Molecule: ribosomal RNA, 420 nt
Filed under: Triticum aestivum (bread wheat)
Lineage: Eukaryota; Viridiplantae; Streptophyta; Magnoliopsida; Poales; Poaceae
Description: partial small subunit ribosomal RNA
Source: RNAcentral